GAUGAACGCUGACAGAAUGCUUAACACAUGCAAGUCAACUUGAAUUUGGGUUUUUAACUUAGGUUUGGGUGGCGGACGGGUGAGUAACGCGUAAAGAACUUGCCUCACAGCUAGGGACAACAUUUGGAAACGAAUGCUAAUACCUAAUAUUAUGAUAAUAGGGCAUCCUAUAAUUAUGAAAGCUAUAAGCGCUGUGAGAGAGCUUUGCGUCCCAUUAGCUAGUUGGAGAGGUAACGGCUCGCCAAGGCGAUGAUGGGUAGCCGGCCUGAGAGGGUGAUCGGCCAAAAGGGGACGGAGACACGGCCCUUACUCCUACGGGAGGCAGCAGUGGGGAAUAUUGGACAAUGGACCAAGAGUCUGAUCCAGCAAUUCUGUGUGCACGAUGAAGUUUUUCGGAAUGUAAAGUGCUUUCAGUUGGGAAGAAAGAAAUGACGGUACCAACAGAAGAAGUGACGGCUAAAUACGUG
Molecule: ribosomal RNA, 467 nt
Filed under: uncultured bacterium
Lineage: Bacteria
Description: partial 16S ribosomal RNA
Rfam family: Bacterial small subunit ribosomal RNA
Source: RNAcentral